RNAcentral lists this ribosomal RNA (1448 nucleotides) under Lactiplantibacillus plantarum. RNAcentral describes it as "Lactobacillus plantarum 16S ribosomal RNA". It matches the Rfam family "Bacterial small subunit ribosomal RNA". The record is from RNAcentral. Lineage: Bacteria; Bacillati; Bacillota; Bacilli; Lactobacillales; Lactobacillaceae.
UGCCUAAUACAUGCAAGUCGAACGAACUCUGGUAUUGAUUGGUGCUUGCAUCAUGAUUUACAUUUGAGUGAGUGGCGAACUGGUGAGUAACACGUGGGAAACCUGCCCAGAAGCGGGGGAUAACACCUGGAAACAGAUGCUAAUACCGCAUAACAACUUGGACCGCAUGGUCCGAGUUUGAAAGAUGGCUUCGGCUAUCACUUUUGGAUGGUCCCGCGGCGUAUUAGCUAGAUGGUGGGGUAACGGCUCACCAUGGCAAUGAUACGUAGCCGACCUGAGAGGGUAAUCGGCCACAUUGGGACUGAGACACGGCCCAAACUCCUACGGGAGGCAGCAGUAGGGAAUCUUCCACAAUGGACGAAAGUCUGAUGGAGCAACGCCGCGUGAGUGAAGAAGGGUUUCGGCUCGUAAAACUCUGUUGUUAAAGAAGAACAUAUCUGAGAGUAACUGUUCAGGUAUUGACGGUAUUUAACCAGAAAGCCACGGCUAACUACGUGCCAGCAGCCGCGGUAAUACGUAGGUGGCAAGCGUUGUCCGGAUUUAUUGGGCGUAAAGCGAGCGCAGGCGGUUUUUUAAGUCUGAUGUGAAAGCCUUCGGCUCAACCGAAGAAGUGCAUCGGAAACUGGGAAACUUGAGUGCAGAAGAGGACAGUGGAACUCCAUGUGUAGCGGUGAAAUGCGUAGAUAUAUGGAAGAACACCAGUGGCGAAGGCGGCUGUCUGGUCUGUAACUGACGCUGAGGCUCGAAAGUAUGGGUAGCAAACAGGAUUAGAUACCCUGGUAGUCCAUACCGUAAACGAUGAAUGCUAAGUGUUGGAGGGUUUCCGCCCUUCAGUGCUGCAGCUAACGCAUUAAGCAUUCCGCCUGGGGAGUACGGCCGCAAGGCUGAAACUCAAAGGAAUUGACGGGGGCCCGCACAAGCGGUGGAGCAUGUGGUUUAAUUCGAAGCUACGCGAAGAACCUUACCAGGUCUUGACAUACUAUGCAAAUCUAAGAGAUUAGACGUUCCCUUCGGGGACAUGGAUACAGGUGGUGCAUGGUUGUCGUCAGCUCGUGUCGUGAGAUGUUGGGUUAAGUCCCGCAACGAGCGCAACCCUUAUUAUCAGUUGCCAGCAUUAAGUUGGGCACUCUGGUGAGACUGCCGGUGACAAACCGGAGGAAGGUGGGGAUGACGUCAAAUCAUCAUGCCCCUUAUGACCUGGGCUACACACGUGCUACAAUGGAUGGUACAACGAGUUGCGAACUCGCGAGAGUAAGCUAAUCUCUUAAAGCCAUUCUCAGUUCGGAUUGUAGGCUGCAACUCGCCUACAUGAAGUCGGAAUCGCUAGUAAUCGCGGAUCAGCAUGCCGCGGUGAAUACGUUCCCGGGCCUUGUACACACCGCCCGUCACACCAUGAGAGUUUGUAACACCCAAAGUCGGUGGGGUAACCUUUUAGGAACCAGCCGCCU